UGCAGUCGAGCGGAUGAAGGGAGCUUGCUCCUUGAUUCAACGGCGGACGGGUGAGUAAUGCCUAGGAAUCUGCCUGGUAGUGGGGGACAACGUUUCGAAAGGAACGCUAAUACCGCAUACGUCCUACGGGAGAAAGCAGGGGACCUUCGGGCCUUGCGCUAUCAGAUGAGCCUAGGUCGGAUUAGCUAGUUGGUGGGGUAAAGGCCUACCAAGGCGACGAUCCGUAACUGGUCUGAGAGGAUGAUCAGUCACACUGGAACUGAGACACGGUCCAGACUCCUACGGGAGGCAGCAGUGGGGAAUAUUGGACAAUGGGCGAGAGCCUGAUCCAGCCAUGCCGCGUGUGUGAAGAAGGUCUUCGGAUUGUAAAGCACUUUAAGUUGGGAGGAAGGGCAGUAAGUUAAUACCUUGCUGUUUUGACGUUACCAACAGAAUAAGCACCGGCUAACUUCGUGCCAGCAGCCGCGGUAAUACGAAUGGUGCAAGCGUUAAUCGGAAUUACUGGGCGUAAAGCGCGCGUAGGUGGUUUGGUAAGAUGGAUGUGAAAUCCCCGGGCUCAACCUGGGAACUGCAUCCAUAACUGCCUGGCUAGAGUACGGUACAGGGUGGUGGAAUUUCCUGUGUAGCGGUGAAAUGCGUACAUAUAGGAAGGAACACCAGUGGCGAAGGCGACCACCUGGACUGAUACUGACACUGAGGUGCGAUAGCGUGUGGAGCAGACAGGAUUAGAUACUCUGGUAGUCCACGCCGUAAACGAUGUCGACUAGCCGUUGGGAUCCUUGAGAUCUUAGUGGCGCAGCUAACGCGAUAAGUCGACCGCCUGGGGAGUACGGCCGCAAGGUUAAGACUCAAAUGAAUUGACGGGGGCCCGCACAAGCGGUGGAGCAUGUGGUUUAAUUCGAAGCAACGCGAAGAACCUUACCUGGCCUUGACAUGUCCGGAACCUUGCAUAGAUGCGAGAGUGCCUUCGGGAAUCGAAACACAGGUGCUGCAUGGCUGUCGUCACCUCGUGUCGUGAGAUGUUGG
Molecule: ribosomal RNA, 1026 nt
Filed under: bacterium
Lineage: Bacteria
Description: bacterial SSU rRNA
Rfam family: Bacterial small subunit ribosomal RNA
Source: RNAcentral